CCGCCACCCAACCCUCAAAUCCUAUCUUCUCCAAUCAAUCACUGCCUAAACUGAAAGCCACCAAAUGCCACCACUAUCAGCCAGCUUCAACCAGAACUCUAGAGAACCACCUUGACAGACGUUCAAACGAACAUCCAUUUUUCAUAUCCAAACGCACACCACAAAACUCCGAAGACCCCAGAUCCCUUCACCUUUUUUUCCGACAUCAUAUGAAACCCCCCAAACCCCAAUUGUUCGCCUCCUUUUUACAUAUUCCAAUCCUAACACCAAUAGAACAAAAUCUAGCACACUAGACCAAAAUCCAAGCUCCACCUGAGACCACCAUAGAACAACAAACUACCGCCCCCCUUUUUCCCUUCAAGCUCCAUCACUAGCUCAUGAUUCAUGGAGCAGCCAACUUCAUGGAAAGCUCAACCAGCAUUCGAACCUCCGCGGACAACCUCACUAAACCAGAUCUCACCAUAAAUCUGAGCACCCAUGAAGACAACAUUGAGUUCCGUCAAUCAGGUUCCGGUUAGUCUAAAUUUUUGUAUUAUCAUAUAUUGAUACUUGGGUCAGUUUUAU
This 564-nucleotide unclassified non-coding RNA is filed under the name Hevea brasiliensis (rubber tree). Lineage: Eukaryota; Viridiplantae; Streptophyta; Magnoliopsida; Malpighiales; Euphorbiaceae. The record is from RNAcentral.